Molecule: ribosomal RNA, 823 nt
Filed under: Allocryptovalsa polyspora
Lineage: Eukaryota; Fungi; Ascomycota; Sordariomycetes; Xylariales; Diatrypaceae
Description: eukaryotic LSU rRNA
Rfam family: Eukaryotic large subunit ribosomal RNA
Source: RNAcentral
AAAGAAACCAACAGGGAUUGCCCUAGUAACGGCGAGUGAAGCGGCAACAGCUCAAAUUUGAAAUCUGGCCUUCUGGUCCGAAUUGUAAUUUGUAGAGGAUGCUUUGGGCGCGGUGCCUUCCGAGUUCCUUGGAACAGGACGCCUUAGAGGGUGAGAGCCCCGUACGGUUGGACACCAAGCCUAUGUAAAGCUCCUUCGACGAGUCGAGUAGUUUGGGAAUGCUGCUCUAAAUGGGAGGUAAAUUUCUUCUAAAGCUAAAUACCGGCCAGAGACCGAUAGCGCACAAGUAGAGUGAUCGAAAGAUGAAAAGUACUUUGAAAAGAGGGUUAAAUAGCACGUGAAAUUGUUGAAAGGGAAGCAUUUAUGACCAGACCUUUGCUAGGUGGAUCAUCCGGUGUUCUCACCGGUGCACUUCGCCUAGCUUAGGCCAGCAUCGAUUUCUGUAGGGGGAUAAAGGUCUAGGGAACGUAGCUCUCUACGGAGAGUGUUAUAGCCCUGGGCGUAAUACCUUUACGGGGAUCGAGGUUCGCGCUUCGGCAAGGAUGCUGGCAUAAUGGUCAUCAAUGACCCGUCUUGAAACACGGACCAAGGAGUCGAACAUUUAUGCGAGUGUUUGGGUGUUAAACCCUCACGCGUAAUGAAAGUGAACGGAGGUGAGAGCCCUUAAGGGUGCAUCAUCGACCGAUCCUGAUGUCUUCGGAUGGAUUUGAGUAAGAGCAUAACUGUUCGGACCCGAAAGAUGGUGAACUAUGCGUGGAUAGGGUGAAGCCAGAGGAAACUCUGGUGGAGGCUCGCAGCGGUUCUGACGUGCAAAUCGAUCGUC